AGUGAACGCUGGCGGUAGGCCUAACACAUGCAAGUCGAACGGCAGCACAGUAAGAGCUUGCUCUUACGGGUGGCGAGUGGCGGACGGGUGAGGAAUACAUCGGAAUCUACUUUUUCGUGGGGGAUAACGUAGGGAAAUUUACGCUAAUACCGCAUACGACCUACGGGUGAAAGCAGGGGAUCUUCGGACCUUGCGCGAUUGAAUGAGCCGAUGUCGGAUUAGCUAGUUGGCGGGGUAAAGGCCCACCAAGGCGACGAUCCGUAGCUGGUCUGAGAGGAUGAUCAGCCACACUGGAACUGAGACACGGUCCAGACUCCUACGGGAGGCAGCAGUGGGGAAUAUUGGACAAUGGGCGCAAGCCUGAUCCAGCCAUACCGCGUGGGUGAAGAAGGCCUUCGGGUUGUAAAGCCCUUUUGUUGGGAAAGAAAAGCAGCAGGUUAAUACCCCGCUGUCCUGACGGUACCCAAAGAAUAAGCACCGGCUAACUUCGUG
Molecule: ribosomal RNA, 492 nt
Filed under: uncultured bacterium
Lineage: Bacteria
Description: partial 16S ribosomal RNA
Rfam family: Bacterial small subunit ribosomal RNA
Source: RNAcentral